UAUAAGAACAAAUCUUACUUGACAUUGCUUUAGAAAGUUUUCUGAAACCAUUAAAAUGAGGAAAGUCUUCUUAAUCUCCUUGGCGCUUGCCCUUUUGCUUCUUGCAAUCAGCGUAGAUGCAAUUCCUAAUUUCCUUGAGUGCGUUAAGAAAGGAAAUAGCGAUAACAGCGCCAGGAGAGCAGUUAUAUCAACGUCAGUUUUCUCUAAAACUGACGAUGGUUCAAAGGAUAUUGUGACACGUUGUCUAGCUAGUCUUGGAAAGAAUUAAUGUAGAGAAUUAAUCGUUUUUUCCUUGUCCUAAUGAAAGACAAUGAAUUUGAAGUUUAAAAAAUAAUAAAAAGAAUUGGAGAAAAUUA
Molecule: long non-coding RNA, 356 nt
Organism: Lutzomyia longipalpis
Lineage: Eukaryota; Metazoa; Arthropoda; Insecta; Diptera; Psychodidae
Exons: 3
Source: RefSeq, a predicted model, not a curated record